Molecule: ribosomal RNA, 440 nt
Filed under: uncultured bacterium
Lineage: Bacteria
Description: partial 16S ribosomal RNA
Rfam family: Bacterial small subunit ribosomal RNA
Source: RNAcentral
CCUACGGGCGGCAGCAGUGGGGGAUAUUGCACAAUGGGGGAAACCCUGAUCCAGCGACGCCGCGUGAGUGAUGAAGGAUUUCGGGAUGUAAAGCUCUUUUAGCAGGGAAGAAAAUGGCAGUACCUGCCCAAGAUUCCCCGGCUAACUACGUGCCAGCAGACGCGGUAAUACGGAGGGGGCAAGCGUUAUCCGGAUUUACUGGGUGUAAAGGGUGCGUAGACGGUUAUGUAAGUCUGGAGUGAAAGGCCCGGGCCCAACCCCGGGACUGCUGUGGAAACUGUGUAAUUGGAGUACAGGAAGGGCAGGCGGAAUUCCUGGUGUAGCGGUGAAAUGCGUAGAUAUCAGGAAGAACACCGGCUGCGAAGGCGGCUUGCUGGACUGAAACUGACGCUGAUGCUCGAAAGCGUGGGGAGCAAACAGGAUUAGAUACCCGUGUAGUC